AGUGAACGCUGGCGGUAGGCCUAACACAUGCAAGUCGAACGGCAGCACAGUAAGAGCUUGCUCUUACGGGUGGCGAGUGGCGGACGGGUGAGGAAUACAUCGGAAUCUACUUUUUCGUGGGGGAUAACGUAGGGAAACUUACGCUAAUACCGCAUACGACCUACGGGUGAAAGCAGGGGAUCUUCGGACCUUGCGCGAUUGAAUGAGCCGAUGUCGGAUUAGCUAGUUGGCGGGGUAAAGGCCCACCAAGGCGACGAUCCGUAGCUGGUCUGAGAGGAUGAUCAGCCACACUGGAACUGAGACACGGUCCAGACUACUACGGGAGGCAGCAGUGGGGAAGAGUGGAAAAUGGGCGCAAGCCUGAUCCAGCCAUGCCGCGUGGGUGAAGAAGGCCUUCGGGUUGUAAAGCCCUUUUGUUGGGAAAGAAAAGCAGCAGGUUAAUACCCCGCUGUUCGGACGGUACCCAAAGAAGAAGCACCGGCGAACUUCG
RNAcentral lists this ribosomal RNA (490 nucleotides) under uncultured bacterium. Its description in RNAcentral is "partial 16S ribosomal RNA". It matches the Rfam family "Bacterial small subunit ribosomal RNA", at positions 29 to 505 of the family's 1533-position model. The record is from RNAcentral.